RNAcentral lists this ribosomal RNA (465 nucleotides) under Vreelandella stevensii. RNAcentral describes it as "partial 16S ribosomal RNA". It matches the Rfam family "Bacterial small subunit ribosomal RNA", at positions 338 to 795 of the family's 1533-position model. The record is from RNAcentral. Lineage: Bacteria; Pseudomonadati; Pseudomonadota; Gammaproteobacteria; Oceanospirillales; Halomonadaceae.
CCUACGGGAGGCUGCCGUGGGGAAUAUUGGACAAUGGGCGAAAGCCUGAUCCAGCCAUGCCGCGUGUGUGAAGAAGGCCUUCGGGUUGUAAAGCACUUUCAGUGGGGAAGAAAGCCUUGGGGCUAAUACCCUCGAGGAAGGACAUCACCCACAGAAGAAGCACCGGCUAACUCCGUGCCAGCAGCCGCGGUAAUACGGAGGGUGCGAGCGUUAAUCGGAAUUACUGGGCGUAAAGCGCGCGUAGGCGGUCUGAUAAGCCGGUUGUGAAAGCCCCGGGCUCAACCUGGGAACGGCAUCCGGAACUGUCAGGCUAGAGUGCAGGAGAGGAAGGUAGAAUUCCCGGUGUAGCGGUGAAAUGCGUAGAGAUCGGGAGGAAUACCAGUGGCGAAGGCGGCCUUCUGGACUGACACUGACGCUGAGGUGCGAAAGCGUGGGUAGCAAACAGGAUUAGAUACCCCGGUAGUC